This 243-nucleotide long non-coding RNA is filed under the name Elaeis guineensis (African oil palm). Its description in RNAcentral is "long non-coding RNA (EGUI_LNC020551)". Lineage: Eukaryota; Viridiplantae; Streptophyta; Magnoliopsida; Arecales; Arecaceae. The record is from RNAcentral.
GCCGUAUUGCUUUGAAUCUUAGUUGAUCGGCAUAUUGACCUCCACUUUGGUUCCCAUUGGAUAUUAUUGAUUUAAUCACCCUCGAUCUUUGUUAAACUACCUAUCUUUUAGCUUAAUCAAGUGCAUGAAGUUAUGAUGAUCAGAUUGACCUAGACUGUUGGAUAUGACUAUCCAUUAAUUCUCUUUCUAUAAUUAUUUGUAUCCCUCCUAAUCAUUGGACUUGAUUUUGUGCAGAAGUGUGAU